This 686-nucleotide ribosomal RNA is filed under the name Faecalibacterium prausnitzii. Its description in RNAcentral is "bacterial SSU rRNA". It matches the Rfam family "Bacterial small subunit ribosomal RNA", at positions 439 to 1151 of the family's 1533-position model. Lineage: Bacteria; Bacillati; Bacillota; Clostridia; Eubacteriales; Oscillospiraceae. The record is from RNAcentral.
GUGAGGAAGAUAAUGACGGUACUCAACAAGGAAGUGACGGCUAACUACGUGCCAGCAGCCGCGGUAAAACGUAGGUCACAAGCGUUGUCCGGAAUUACUGGGUGUAAAGGGAGCGCAGGCGGGAAGACAAGUUGGAAGUGAAAUCCAUGGGCUCAACCCAUGAACUGCUUUCAAAACUGUUUUUCUUGAGUAGUGCAGAGGUAGGCGGAAUUCCCGGUGUAGCGGUGGAAUGCGUAGAUAUCGGGAGGAACACCAGUGGCGAAGGCGGCCUACUGGGCACCAACUGACGCUGAGGCUCGAAAGUGUGGGUAGCAAACAGGAUUAGAUACCCUGGUAGUCCACACUGUAAACGAUGAUUACUAGGUGUUGGAGGAUUGACCCCUUCAGUGCCGCAGUUAACACAAUAAGUAAUCCACCUGGGGAGUACGACCGCAAGGUUGAAACUCAAAGGAAUUGACGGGGGCCCGCACAAGCAGUGGAGUAUGUGGUUUAAUUCGACGCAACGCGAAGAACCUUACCAAGUCUUGACAUCCUGCGACGCACAUAGAAAUAUGUGUUUCCUUCGGGACGCAGAGACAGGUGGUGCAUGGUUGUCGUCAGCUCGUGUCGUGAGAUGWUGGGUUAAGUCCCGCAACGAGCGCAACCCUUAUGGUCAGUUACUACGCAAGAGGACUCUGGCCAGACUG